UAGGACUCAGAUGGUAAAGCGUCUGCCUACAAUGUGGGAGACCCAGGUUCGAUCCCUGGGUUGGGAAGAUCCUCUGGAGAAGGAAAUGGAAACCUGCUUCAGUACUCUUGCCUGGAAAAUCCCAUGGACUGAGGAGACUGGUAGGCUACAAUCCAUGGGGUCGCAAAGAGUCGGACAUGACUGAGCGACUUCACUUUUCACUUAGGUGGUUCUAAGGAAGAAGCAAUAAACAUGUAUAUCAGCUAAUUGUCCAAAUUGUAGAUGUCAACAAGACUAUCCUGGAUCAGUUCUCUAAGAGUAGCUUUCACAUCGGGCGGUGCAGAAGGAGAGAGCCCUUGAAGGUCAACCAUGUGUUCUCCAGCCUUGAGAAGGGUGUUCGCUUUGUGUCUGUGGAACAGUGGAUCUUAGUCAUGGAUCUCAACAAUGAGCCAAGUGGAGUCGAACUUACCAACGCCAGUUUGCUCAACUCCAGUUUGAUUGUGCAGGUCGCCUAUCCUAGUCAAGAGCUAUCCUUGGAGAACAACCACCCCACGGAUGUCAGGAACUUUGCGUGCGGGCACACCGUUUCUCUAAUUAAGGACUUGUAGUUCCUGGCCAUCCUGGGAUCUCUUGGGUCCAGUUGAGGGUCCUACUAGAAGAAAAUUCCUGCUACUUCUAUAAGGCAGGCCCUGUUCUUCUGAUUGGAAACCCAUGGGUGAGCACAGGGAAAGGCUGGGUCAUGAAAGGGCUCCUCACCAGGGGCCCUCUGGUUCAGCCCCCCUGCCCUCUGCCCUGGUCUCCUCCCAGGCCUGCUGUAGAGGCUCACUGGUCCCGUGCAGGAAGCCCCCUCCUCAUGUCUGAACUGGAAGCUCAUUCCUAUGACCAAGAAAAUUCCAGCCCCCGUAGGGGAUGAAUUUCAUUUUGUGAGGUUUUAAGACCAGGACCAAGACUCACAGCUGAGAGUGAACCAACUCAAAAAAUGUUUGGAGACAGAGGGUUCUGCCCACCCUGUGAACAAUGAUGUGGUCCCCUGAGCCCAACCCUAUCCUGGAUCGUGUGGUGUAUAAAAUAGUUACAUUUUGAAAUUCUUUUAAAUAUGGAGAGAAUAAAU
This is a long non-coding RNA of Bos taurus (domestic cattle), 1090 nucleotides long. NCBI's taxonomy places the organism in Eukaryota, Metazoa, Chordata, Mammalia, Artiodactyla, Bovidae. The record is from Ensembl.